RNAcentral lists this ribosomal RNA (775 nucleotides) under uncultured Neocallimastigales. Its description in RNAcentral is "partial large subunit ribosomal RNA". It matches the Rfam family "Eukaryotic large subunit ribosomal RNA", at positions 22 to 635 of the family's 3401-position model. Lineage: Eukaryota; Fungi; Neocallimastigomycota; Neocallimastigomycetes; Neocallimastigales. The record is from RNAcentral.
CUAUACAUGACUCUGCGCAUAUCAAUAAGCGGAGGAAAAGAAACUAACAAGGAUUCCCCUAGUAACGGCGAGUGAAGCGGGAAGAGCUCAAAUUUGAAAUCUUAAAGGGUUUCCCUUUACGAAUUGUAGUUUAAAGAAGUGUUUUCUGUUGAGGUUUUGGUAAAAGUUCUUUGGAAUAGGACAUCAUAGAGGGUGAGAAUCCCGUAUUUGACCUUUACUUUCAACUUUGUGAUACACUUUCAAAGAGUCGGAUUGUUUGGGAAUGCAGUCCAAAAUGGGUGGUAAAUUUCAUCUAAAGCUAAAUAUUGGCGAGAGACCGAUAGCGAACAAGUACCGUGAGGGAAAGAUGAAAAGAACUUUGAAAAGAGAGUUAAACAGUACGUGAAAUUGUCAAAAGGGAAGCGUUUGACACCAGUGUUGUUUUUCUGAAAAUCAAUUAAAGAACUGUUUAUGCUAAGUUGUUUAGACUUUAUCAGCUAACUGUUUAGUUUUGAGCUUUUCUUUAAUGCACAUUUUCAGUUAACAAGUCAACAUCAAUUUCUUUUGCUGUAAAAAAGCUUGAGGAAGGUGGCUUGAGAUUCGUCUUAAGUGUUUAUAGCCUCUUGCCUAUGCAGUCGGAGAGAUUGAGGUCUGCAGCGUAGAUCCUUCGGGGCUAAAUGCAUUUGUGCUAAGUUAUAGCAUUUUAUAGACAACUUGUUGACUAUGAUUUGUCUUGUAGCUUACUCGCUUAUGUUAUUUUACCUACGCUUAGGAUGUUGAUCUACAGAGCGAGAGU